This 70-nucleotide transfer RNA is filed under the name Phytophthora infestans (potato late blight agent). Its description in RNAcentral is "tRNA-Val". It matches the Rfam family "tRNA". Rfam says of the family: Transfer RNA (tRNA) molecules are approximately 80 nucleotides in length. Their secondary structure includes four short double-helical elements and three loops (D, anti-codon, and T loops). Further hydrogen bonds mediate the characteristic L-shaped molecular structure. tRNAs have two regions of fundamental functional importance: the anti-codon, which is responsible for specific mRNA codon recognition, and the 3' end, to which the tRNAs corresponding amino acid is attached (by aminoacyl-tRNA synthetases). tRNAs cope with the degeneracy of the genetic code in two manners: having more than one tRNA (with a specific anti-codon) for a particular amino acid; and 'wobble' base-pairing, i.e. permitting non-standard base-pairing at the 3rd anti-codon position. The record is from RNAcentral. Lineage: Eukaryota; Oomycota; Peronosporomycetes; Peronosporales; Peronosporaceae.
ACCCUUUUAGCUCAAUGGUUGAACACUCGCUUUACAAGCGAUAGGUCGGUGGUUCGAACCCACUAGGGCA